GAGGGAUUCGCAUCUAAUGUGCUGAUCCAGCUUGUCUGGGCCAGCCUCCUUGUGUACUGAAACCAAAGCAAUUUAGUCGUUGCCUACGGGCCUUCUGGCAGUCCUGGAGUCGGAGUGCAGUGAGGAUUUGGAGAUAGGAUUUAAUCGGAUACAUCUGUGUGCGCGCCGGAGUUAAGCACGGCUAGAGCAGGGGCUAUGUUUCAAGUGAGAAGUAUUAUCGCUUUCCUAUAAUAACAAUGGCGUGGAGCGUGGGGAGAGCUUGGAAAAACAGUUCGCUUUAACCUAGUCUGACUUCUCCUCCUGGUCCGGGCCAUGUCGUGAAAUCCAGUCUGGAGACAGGAAAACCUCGCCGCUGACCAAUCGAGUGUCCAGCCUGCCAAAAGAGACGAGGCUGAGGAAAUUAAAUAGGUGGGCAAGAGAGUAUCCAUCUGUGCAUGCGUGUGUUUGCGUGUUCUUCUUGGAUGUGAGCGCAGCAGUGAGUCAUAUCCACUACUGUUUGUUCCAGACACUGAAAUGUUGGCCUCAAAAUUACCGACGCACUAUUUUUUUUUUUUUUUUAUCAGACAGAGCAUGGGGAAAUCUGCAAAUGAAUCAUUGGCAUGUUGACAUCAGACCAUAAAUUCUUCUCAGCUCUGUCCACAGACUUCUAGUGUCUCAUAGUUUUCAUAGCUUUCAUUGCAGAAACAACACAUGCCUAAUUUAAGAGAUGCAAAGCUGGCAGGAUGAGCUCAGUUUUUUUUUGGUUUAUCUGGAAAAGAACAGAAGCUCCUCCGCAGUGCGCAACUGUGCAGUGAUUAACCUCCCGUCUAAAACACAGAUGUGCGAGCCUCCUGACAUCCAGCAUUGGGGUUUGAGAUGCAGAGGGCAGGGGCUGCUCCUCCUGGUGCUCCGGGGUCAGGUAAGGUAGCAUAGGGGUCUGCUCGGGGUCACAAGACCCCAGCAGGAGAGCCUGAGAGUGGGCAGAGUGUAUGUGGAUUAAGGACCUGAGGAC
This is a long non-coding RNA of Cyprinus carpio carpio, 991 nucleotides long. Lineage: Eukaryota; Metazoa; Chordata; Actinopteri; Cypriniformes; Cyprinidae. The record is from Ensembl.